This 253-nucleotide ribosomal RNA is filed under the name uncultured bacterium. Its description in RNAcentral is "partial 16S ribosomal RNA". It matches the Rfam family "Bacterial small subunit ribosomal RNA", at positions 524 to 776 of the family's 1533-position model. The record is from RNAcentral.
UACGGGGGGGGCAAGCGUUGUUCGGAAUUACUGGGCGUAAAGGGCGUGUAGGCGGCCAACUAAGUCCGACGUGAAAUCCCCAGGCUUAACCUGGGAACUGCGUCCGAUACUGGCAGGCUUGAAUCCGGGAGAGGGAUGUGGAAUUCCAGGUGUAGCGGUGAAAUGCGUAGAUAUCUGGAGGAACACCGGUGGCGAAGGCGGCAUCCUGGACCGGUAUUGACGCUGAGGCGCGAAAGCCAGGGGAGCAAACGGG